Molecule: ribosomal RNA, 434 nt
Filed under: uncultured bacterium
Lineage: Bacteria
Description: partial 16S ribosomal RNA
Rfam family: Bacterial small subunit ribosomal RNA
Source: RNAcentral
ACGGAAGGCAGCAGUGGGGAAUAUUGCACAAUGGGGGAAACCCUGAUGCAGCAACGCCGCGUGAGUGAAGAAGUAUUUCGGUAUGUAAAGCUCUAUCAGCAGGGAAGAUAAUGACGGUACCUGACUAAGAAGCUCCGGCUAAAUACGUGCCAGCAGCCGCGGUAAUACGUAUGGAGCAAGCGUUAUCCGGAUUUACUGGGUGUAAAGGGUGCGUAGGUGGCAGGGCAAGUCAGAUGUGAAAGACCGGGGCUCAACUCCGGGGCUGCAUUUGAAACUGUCUUGCUGGAGUGCAGGGGAGGUAAGCGGAAUUCCUAGUGUAGCGGUGAAAUGCGUAGAUAUUAGGAGGAACACCGGUGGCGAAGGCGGCUUACUGGACUGAAACUGACACUGAGGCACGAAAGCGUGGGGAGCAAACAGGAUUAGAUACCCUGGUA